ACUCCUACGGGAGGCAGCAGUGGGGAAUUUUGGACAAUGGGCGCAAGCCUGAUCCAGCAAUGCCGCGUGAGUGAAGAAGGCCUUCGGGUUGUAAAGCUCUUUCAGUUGAAAAGAAAAAGUCGUGACUAAUAAUCAUGGCUCAUGACGGUAUCAACAGAAGAAGCACCGGCUAACUACGUGCCAGCAGCCGCGGUAAUACGUAGGGUGCAAGCGUUAAUCGGAAUUACUGGGCGUAAAGGGUGCGCAGGCGGUUCUGUAAGUCAGAUGUGAAAUCUCCGGGCUUAACCUGGGAACUGCGUUUGAAACUGCAGAGCUAGAGUGCGGCAGAGGGAGGUGGAAUUCCAUGUGUAGCAGUGAAAUGCGUAGAGAUAUGGAAGAACAUCGACGGCGAAGGCAACCUCCUGGGCUAGCACUGACGCUCAUGCACGAAAGCGUGGGGAGCAGACAGGAUUAGAUACCCUGGUAGUCCACGCCCUAAACUAUGUCAACUAGUUGUCGGGUCUUAAUAGACUUGGUAACGUAGCUAACGCGUGAAGUUGACCGCCUGGGGAGUACGGUCGCAAGAUUAAAACUCAAAGGAAUUGACGGGGACCCGCACAAGCGGUGGAUUAUGUGGAUUAAUUCGGUGCAACGCGAAAAACCUUACCUACCCUUGACAUGUCAGAAAAUUUUCAGAGAUGAAUUUGUGCCCGAAAGGGAAUCUGAACACAGGUGCUGCAUGGCUGUCGUCAGCUCGUGUCGUGAGAUGUGGGGUUAAGUCCCGCAACGAGCGCAACCCUAGUCAUUAAUUGCCAUCAUUAAGUUGGGCACUUUAAUGAGACUGCCGGUGAUAAACCGGAGGAAGGUGGGGAUGACGUCAAGUCCUCAUGGCCCUUAUGGGUAGGGCUUCACACGUAAUACAAUGGCG
This 907-nucleotide ribosomal RNA is filed under the name uncultured bacterium. RNAcentral's name for it is "bacterial SSU rRNA". It matches the Rfam family "Bacterial small subunit ribosomal RNA", at positions 335 to 1235 of the family's 1533-position model. The record is from RNAcentral.